UACGGGGGGGGGCAAGCGUUGUUCGGAAUUACUGGGCGUAAAGGGCUCGUAGGCGGCCAACUAAGUCCGACGUGAAAUCCCAAGGCUUAACCUUGGAACUGCGUCGGAUACUGGAUGGCUUGAAUUCGGGAGAGGGAUGCAGAAUUCCAGGUGUAGCGGUGAAAUGCGCAGAUAUCAGGAGGAACACCAAUGGCGAAGGCAGCUCGCUGGGACGGUACUGACGCUGAGACGCGAAAGCGUGGGGAGCGAACAGG
This 254-nucleotide ribosomal RNA is filed under the name uncultured bacterium. RNAcentral's name for it is "partial 16S ribosomal RNA". It matches the Rfam family "Bacterial small subunit ribosomal RNA", at positions 524 to 776 of the family's 1533-position model. The record is from RNAcentral.